RNAcentral lists this ribosomal RNA (187 nucleotides) under Enterobacter hormaechei subsp. xiangfangensis. RNAcentral describes it as "partial 23S ribosomal RNA". It matches the Rfam family "Bacterial large subunit ribosomal RNA", at positions 2745 to 2925 of the family's 2925-position model. Lineage: Bacteria; Pseudomonadati; Pseudomonadota; Gammaproteobacteria; Enterobacterales; Enterobacteriaceae. The record is from RNAcentral.
GUAGCUAAAUGCGGAAGAGAUAAGUGCUGAAAGCAUCUAAGCACGAAACUUGCCCCGAGAUGAGUUCUCCCUGAGACUUUAAGUCUCCUGAAGGAACGUUGAAGACGACGACGUUGAUAGGUCGGGUGUGUAAGCGCAGCGAUGCGUUGAGCUAACCGAGAAGUGAAACGCCGUAGCGCCGAUGGUA